GGGAUUUGGGGCAGGACCUGUGGGAUUUUGGGGGAAAUUUGGGGGAUUUGGGAUGGGACAAAGGGAUUUAGGAUGAAAUCUGAUGAUUUUGGGGUGAAAUUUGGGGGAUUUGGGGUGAAAUCUGAUGAAUUUGGGGUGAAUUUUGAGGGAUUUAGGGUGAAAUCUGAUGAAUUUGGGGUGAAUUUUGAGGCAUUUGGGGUGAAAUCUGAUGGAUUUGGGGUGAAAUUUGAUGAUUUUGGGGUGAAUUUUAGGGGAUUUGGGUUGGAAU
Poecile atricapillus (Black-capped chickadee) is the source of this 268-nucleotide long non-coding RNA. RefSeq lists it as uncharacterized. NCBI's taxonomy places the organism in Eukaryota, Metazoa, Chordata, Aves, Passeriformes, Paridae. The record is from RefSeq and is a predicted model, not a curated record. The transcript has 2 exons.